This 497-nucleotide ribosomal RNA is filed under the name uncultured bacterium. Its description in RNAcentral is "partial 16S ribosomal RNA". It matches the Rfam family "Bacterial small subunit ribosomal RNA", at positions 28 to 507 of the family's 1533-position model. The record is from RNAcentral.
GAUGAACGCUGGCGGCGUGCCUAAUACAUGCAAGUCGAGCGAACAGACGAGGAGCUUGCUCCUCUGACGUUAGCGGCGGACGGGUGAGUAACACGUGGAUAACCUACCUAUAAGACUGGGAUAACUUCGGGAAACCGGAGCUAAUACCGGAUAAUAUAUUGAACCGCAUGGUUCAAUAGUGAAAGACGGUUUUGCUGUCACUUAUAGAUGGAUCCGCGCCGCAUUAGCUAGUUGGUAAGGUAACGGCUUACCAAGGCGCCGAUGCGUAGCCGACCUGAGAGGGUGAUCGGCCACACUGGAACUGAGACACGGUCCAGACUCCUACGGGAGGCAGCAGUAGGGAAUCUUCCGCAAUGGGCGAAAGCCUGACGGAGCAACGCCGCGUGAGUGAUGAAGGUCUUCGGAUCGUAAAACUCUGUUAUUAGGGAAGAACAAAUGUGUAAGUAACUAUGCACGUCUUGACGGUACCUAAUCAGAAAGCCACGGCUAACUACGUG